CACGGUCCUAACGAAGCAGAAGCGGGAGAGAAAAGCAUAAAUCCCUGUGGGGCCACACUUAAUCCAUUUUAUUUUGGUUUCUACAGGAAACAAAGCAUAAGUUACUGGCUUCUUUACCCACCAGCCCGCUCUGAUACCUUGGAAAUCCGUUUUGAUAGCAGGACAGACGUCUCAAAGUUAUUUAUCAUAUCAAUGAUUUGAAGAUCCUCUUGCAGAGCCAAACUCUGGCCAAAGCUCUUAACUCUCCAAUGAAAUUCAUCUGAGCUACACCAUGUGAGCACUCAACAGCUAUGAAAAAAUGAGCACUGCAUCAAGGACCUUUGGGGCAAAACCUUUGUACAAUGCUGGAAUGGGAUCUGAAGGGAUGUUUUUAACAACAGGAACAGGUAGAACAACCACUCACGUUGGUCUGCAGAGGUCAAUCGACAUUAGCCAUGUCAGAAACUCCUGGUUCAAAACAUCCUUCAAAUCUUCUGAACCUUCCAGAGAAGUAAAACUGCAAGAAAUGUGCCAUGCCAUAAAGACAGAGGAAAGGAAACCAUCCAAAUGUGUAUAUAACAAUCUUAUCUCCAUUGCAUCAAGUUCACAGGUAUAUUUUAUUUUCCUGGUCUUCUAAUACCUUUGACUUAGUGCAUUGCUUGCCACCUUGUCAAUCCUACCAACGUUUCCGUUUUUCUUUCCCUGCUCUUGGGAAAUGAGACUGUUCUGUACCAUUAGCAGUGUCAGUGGGGAGGAACUGGGGGAUGAGCUGACUCAAAGAAAGAAAGCCAGGAGGAUUUCUUUCUCUUCCUGGGUUGAGCAUGAUUCAAACCUCAAGCUCUUGUCUCAGUUCAUCUUUCUUCUUUGUUCACCACUUCCUAUCUCCACAGCCAAGAGGAUGCAUUUUCUUCUUAUUUUUCAGUACUGUGCAAUUCUUAACUAAAUUUAUUUGUAUAUAUAAAAAACUUUUAAAAUCUUAAAAGGGAGCCUUUCCUCCCUCUAUAAGCUGAAACAGCCACAUACAAAUCUCUGCCUAGAUCAAGGAUUAGUUAACUAAAAAGAUCUGAAUCCAUAUGACAUUUUCUUCAUCAUCUUUUCCUCCAGGCACCAGUUAGAUUUUUGACAAGGCUAGUCAUUUGCUUCUUAAGAGAAGUCCCUCUGCUGCCUCCUGGGCAGUGCAGUAGAGCCAUGGACUAGGAGAGACAGUUUGAAGGAAAGGACACUAUGCUCUCAGUAACUGUUUUUCUGUUCUGUAAAAUAGAAGUGCCAGUGAAGAAGAGUGAAUAAAGGUACAAUCUUCGUGGCUGGAGGUGUUCCCCUAAGUGUAGCAAAACAACAACACAACAGCAAAAAACAACAGAACCUAUUUUUGACAUGAUGAGAUCCUGCUACAGAACACUGCUUUGAUCUUGGUCAGUCUGGGAUAUCUAGCACUGAAUAUGUCUGUCAGGCUUAGGAGAAGAGAAGGAACAGUCCUGUAACACCCUCUGCCCUCCCCCCCCCCAUCCUCUCUUAAACCCAGCAGGCAUCAAACCAAAGGCAGAAUGAAACAGCAUCUAUGCCCCAAGCUCACAAAGGGAAGCCUUUGUUUCUGAGAAGGACUUUUUCACCCCACAUAUUGUGUUGUUUUUUUUUUUUGUUUUUUUUUUUAUUUGCAAUUAAGGAGAUUAGGGGAAACACUGCAUUUUUUUUUAAUAUUAUUAUUAAAUGACGCUAAUCAAGCAGAUUAAUCUUUAGCACCAAAAGUGUGUGUCAUUCCCCCUCCCUUUCCCUCCCCUCCACUCCUAUGUGAGAACAGGUUAGAAAAAUAUCUGUCAGGAGUAGUUUAGAGCAAGCUGAUCCUGUCUUCUAGGAGAGGUCAGACUAAAUGACCUUUCGAGAUCCAACAAAGCCCUUGUUUCUUUGGUUCUGCAUUUUCACUAUGACUAGCAAUUCUCAAUGUCUGAUUUUCUGGGUGCUUGGCCUUAACACCUCUGUGAAGCAUAACAGUGCUCGUUUCCCCCAAGCCUGGGUCAUCCCCCGCACCCUUGUUUCUAAAGCAGUUUUCAUUCAAAGGCUGUAAAAGACAACAAAUGCCCUGAGAUUCUUGUUCUGAGUGACUGUCCCAUGACUCCCUGUAAGUUAGAGGUUUCAUUCUUUUAUCAAAAGACGCUAGAAUUGUGCCUGAAGGAUGUGAGCUAUGUGCAGUAAGUGCCUGUUUUCCUUCCUGACACAGUUUUGGUACUAAGCAGCAGCAACCUGUUAGGCUUUGUAAAAUCCCCUUCAUGUUAAAGAAAGGAAAUGUUUCCAUCAUUUGUUGGCUUUAAAAAAAAAAAAUAAAUAAAAAUAGAAAUUGCUUGAGAA
Anas platyrhynchos (mallard) is the source of this 2322-nucleotide long non-coding RNA. RefSeq lists it as uncharacterized. Lineage: Eukaryota; Metazoa; Chordata; Aves; Anseriformes; Anatidae. The record is from RefSeq and is a predicted model, not a curated record.